GUGUGUGGAUGGUGUUCAGUACCAGGGACAGGUGUGUUUGGUUCUGUGGAUGGUGUCCAGCACCAAGGACAUGUGUGUUUACCU
This 84-nucleotide microRNA precursor is filed under the name Branchiostoma floridae (Florida lancelet). Its description in RNAcentral is "mir-2060 microRNA precursor family". It matches the Rfam family "mir-2060 microRNA precursor family". The record is from Rfam by way of RNAcentral. Lineage: Eukaryota; Metazoa; Chordata; Leptocardii; Amphioxiformes; Branchiostomatidae.